Molecule: transfer RNA, 74 nt
Filed under: Kappaphycus alvarezii
Lineage: Eukaryota; Rhodophyta; Florideophyceae; Gigartinales; Solieriaceae
Description: tRNA-Met
Rfam family: tRNA
About the family: Transfer RNA (tRNA) molecules are approximately 80 nucleotides in length. Their secondary structure includes four short double-helical elements and three loops (D, anti-codon, and T loops).
Source: RNAcentral
AGCGGGAUAGAGUAAAUAGGUUAACUCAUUAGACUCAUGAUCUAAGAUUGUAGGUUCAAAUCCUACUCUCGCAA